This 234-nucleotide ribosomal RNA is filed under the name uncultured Candidatus Saccharibacteria bacterium. Its description in RNAcentral is "partial 16S ribosomal RNA". It matches the Rfam family "Bacterial small subunit ribosomal RNA", at positions 584 to 818 of the family's 1533-position model. Lineage: Bacteria; Candidatus Saccharimonadota. The record is from RNAcentral.
UAAGUAGGUAGUGAAAUCGUGUGGCUCAACCAUGCUCACAUUACCUAAACUGCUCAGCUAGAGGAUGAGAGAGGUCGUUGGAAUUCCUAGUGUAGGAGUGAAAUCCGUAGAUAUUAGGAGGAACACCGAUGGCGUAGGCAGACGACUGGCUCAUUCCUGACACUAAGGCACGAAAGCGUGGGAGCAAACGGGAUUAGAUACCCCGGUAGUCCACGCCGUAAACUAUGGAUGCUA